Molecule: ribosomal RNA, 658 nt
Filed under: Oligochinus lighti
Lineage: Eukaryota; Metazoa; Arthropoda; Malacostraca; Amphipoda; Calliopiidae
Description: bacterial SSU rRNA
Rfam family: Eukaryotic small subunit ribosomal RNA
Source: RNAcentral
GAUCCUGCCAGUAGUCAUAUGCUUGUUUCAAAGACUAAGCCAUGCAUGUCUAAGUCCAAGCUGUGUGUUGUUGGUGCAAGCCUUCACACGCGGCGAAACCGCGGACGGCUCAUUAAAUCAGUCGUGGUCCAAAUGGGCCAGAGUUAUCUUACUUGGAUAACUGUGGUAAUUCCAGAGCUAAUACAUGCAACUGAAAGUCCGAACGACACGCAUGCUCACGUGUGUGUGUUGUGACGGCUGCUUUUAUUAGACCAAACCGCUGAGGGGUCUUCUUGUAAGACCCUGUAGACUCGUGUUGUGGUGACUCUGGAUAACACACCUUUUGACAAGCGCACGUAUCCAUUAGUUUGGGACGGCGCUGCCACUUUCGAGUGUCUGCCUUAUCAGCUAUGUAUCGUUCGUUAUGUGCGACCGAUGGCUUUGACGGGUAACGGGGAAUCAGGGUUCGAUUCCGGAGAGGCAGCCUGAGAAACGGCUACCACGUCCAAGGACGGCAGCAGGCACGCAAAUUACCCAAUCCCAGCAACUGGGGGAGGUAGUGACGAAAUCUAACGAUGCGGGCGCCCCUUCUGGGGCCCCGCAAUCGGAAUGAGCACAUCUCUUUCUAAACACCCUGUUGAGAACCUACUGAAGGGCAAGUCUGGUGCCAGCAGCCGCG